This 253-nucleotide ribosomal RNA is filed under the name uncultured Stenotrophomonas sp. RNAcentral's name for it is "partial 16S ribosomal RNA". It matches the Rfam family "Bacterial small subunit ribosomal RNA", at positions 524 to 776 of the family's 1533-position model. The record is from RNAcentral. Lineage: Bacteria; Pseudomonadati; Pseudomonadota; Gammaproteobacteria; Lysobacterales; Lysobacteraceae.
UACGGAGGGUGCAAGCGUUACUCGGAAUUACUGGGCGUAAAGCGUGCGUAGGUGGUUUGGUAAGUCUGUAGUGAAAGCCCUGGGCUCAACCUGGGAACUGCGAUUGAAACUGGCUGACUAGAAUGUGGCAGAGGGUAGCGGAAUUCCUGGUGUAGCAGUGAAAUGCGUAGAUAUCAGGAGGAACACCCAUGGCGAAGGCAGCUACCUGGGUCAACAUUGACACUGAGGCACGAAAGCGUGGGGAGCAAACAGG